This 295-nucleotide ribosomal RNA is filed under the name uncultured Microcystis sp. Its description in RNAcentral is "partial 16S ribosomal RNA". It matches the Rfam family "Bacterial small subunit ribosomal RNA", at positions 432 to 747 of the family's 1533-position model. The record is from RNAcentral. Lineage: Bacteria; Bacillati; Cyanobacteriota; Cyanophyceae; Chroococcales; Microcystaceae.
UCUUUUCUCAAGGAAGAAGUUCUGACGGUACUUGAGGAAUCAGCCUCGGCUAACUCCGUGCCAGCAGCCGCGGUAAUACGGGGGAGGCAAGCGUUAUCCGGAAUUAUUGGGCGUAAAGCGUCCGCAGGUGGUCAGCCAGUCUGCUGUCAAAUCAGGUUGCUUAACGACUAAAGGCGGUGGAAACUGGCAGACUAGAGAGCAGUAGGGUAGCAGGAUUCCCAGUGUAGCGGGAAAUGCGUAGAGAUUGGGAAGAACAUCGGUGGCGAAAGCGUGCUACUGGGCUGUAUCUGACACU